Melozone crissalis (California towhee) is the source of this 528-nucleotide non-coding RNA. The record is from the annotation of a RefSeq genome assembly. NCBI's taxonomy places the organism in Eukaryota, Metazoa, Chordata, Aves, Passeriformes, Passerellidae.
AUGCAGCUCGCAUAUCUCAUCCUCACCGUCUUCCUGGGCCAGCUCCUGGGCACCACGGGGCAGGACACGGUCACCCAGGAACAUGGACCAGUCUGGGUGAAGCAGGGACACCCCUUCAACACCACCUGCAAAUACCACACCAGUUAUUUUGGUGCCUUAUUUUGGUACCAGCUCAGGAAAGGGCAAGCCCCAGAGCUGAUCUCCUAUCAAGCAGGGAGUGGCCCCAAGACCAGCGGCCAUUUCACCACACAGCUGAACACCACGGGCAAAUCCAGUGUCCUGCAGCUGGAGGAAGUGGAGCUCUCUGACUCUGCCUUGUACCUCUGUGCUGUCAGAGGCCAGGGCUGGUUUUGUGUCCCUGCCUUGUGUGCUCUUGGAGCAGCCCCGUUUGCAUGGACACACGUGAAGCACGGAUUUGUCUGGGGCUCCACACUGGCGGCAUCGCUGCUGUGUGCGAUGGGACACAGGUGUCCCUUGUCCCUGGCCAUGCCAAAGGUCCCUGUGUCGCUGGUUGUGCCGGUGCCGUGA